Molecule: ribosomal RNA, 253 nt
Filed under: uncultured bacterium
Lineage: Bacteria
Description: partial 16S ribosomal RNA
Rfam family: Bacterial small subunit ribosomal RNA
Source: RNAcentral
UACAGAGGGUGCAAGCGUUAAUCGGAAUUGCUGGGCGUAAAGCGUGCGUAGACGGUUAUUUAAGUCGGGUGUGAAAGCCCCGGGCUCAACCUGGGAAUUGCAUUCGAGACUGAAUAGCUAGGGUGCGGAAGAGGGAAGCGGAAUUUCCGGUGUAGCGGUGAAAUGCGUAGAGAUGCGGAGGAACACCAGUGGCGAAAGCGACUUUCUGGUCCUUAACUGACGCUGAGGCGCGAAAGCAUGGGGAGCGAACGGG